Molecule: ribosomal RNA, 892 nt
Filed under: uncultured Gammaproteobacteria bacterium
Lineage: Bacteria; Pseudomonadati; Pseudomonadota; Gammaproteobacteria
Description: bacterial SSU rRNA
Rfam family: Bacterial small subunit ribosomal RNA
Source: RNAcentral
AGGGUUUGAUCCUGGCUCAGAUUGAACGCUGGCGGCAGGCCUAACACAUGCAAGUCGAACGGUAACAGAACUAGCUUGCUAGUUGCUGACGAGUGGCGGACGGGUGAGUAAUACUUAGGGAUCUGCCUCUGUGUGGGGGAUAACUAUUGGAAACGAUAGCUAAUACCGCAUAAUGUCUACGGACCAAAGAGGGCUUCGGCUCUCGCGCAGAGAGGAACCUAAGCGAGAUUAGCUAGUUGGUGAGGUAAAGGCUCACCAAGGCGACGAUCUCUAGCUGUUCUGAGAGGAAGAUCAGCCACACUGGAACUGAGACACGGUCCAGACUCCUACGGGAGGCUGCAGUGGGGAAUAUUGCACAAUGGGGGAAACCCUGAUGCAGCCAUGCCGCGUGUGUGAAGAAGGCCUUCGGGUUGUAAAGCACUUUCAGUUGUGAGGAAAGUUUAGUAGUUAAUACCUGCUAGAUGUGACGUUAACAACAGAAGAAGCACCGGCUAACUCCGUGCCAGCAGCCGCGGUAAUACGGAGGUGCGAGCGUUAUCGGAAUUACUGGGCGUAAAGCGCACGCAGGCGGUCUGUUAAGCUAGAUGUGAAAGCCCCGCGCUCAACGUGGGAGGGUCAUUUAGAACUGGCAGACUAGAGUCUUGGAGAGGGGAGUGGAAUUCCAGGUGUAGCGGUGAAAUGCGUAGAGAUCUGAGGAACAUCAAUGGCGAAGGCAACUCCCUGGCCAAAGACUGACGCUCAUGUGCGAAAGUGUGGGUAGCGAACAGGAUUAGAUACCCUGGUAGUCCACACCGUAAACGCUGUCUACUAGCUGUUUGUGGAUAUAAUCCGUGAGUAGCGAAGCUAACGCGAUAAGUAGACCGCCUGGGGAGUACGGCCGCAAGGUUAAAAC